UCAAACUUGGUCAUUUAGAGGAAGUAAAAGUCGUAACAAGGUUUCCGUAGGUGAACCUGCGGAAGGAUCAUUAAUGGAUGUUCAAGGCAGUGGGUUGUGCUGGCCUCUCGAGGCAUUGUGCACGCCUCUGUCAAAACCUUCACACACCCUUGUGAACCAAAUUUGUGUUGGGGAUUCGAGCUGUCGAAGCCGAUGGACGCUGGUUGACGGCCGAAAGCGGUUCGCCGGCUCUUGUCCCCCCCGCAAGUAGUUUUUACAAACCCCUUUUAAUUCUUGUACGAGAAGGCUUAUGCAAUAAUAAAUACAACUUUCAACAACGGAUCUCUUGGCUCUCGCAUCGAUGAAGAACGCAGC
Molecule: unclassified non-coding RNA, 354 nt
Filed under: uncultured fungus
Lineage: Eukaryota; Fungi
Description: partial contains small subunit ribosomal RNA, internal transcribed spacer 1, and 5.8S ribosomal RNA
Rfam family: Eukaryotic small subunit ribosomal RNA (bases 1-73)
Source: RNAcentral